Molecule: long non-coding RNA, 2223 nt
Organism: Parus major (Great Tit)
Lineage: Eukaryota; Metazoa; Chordata; Aves; Passeriformes; Paridae
Exons: 2
Source: RefSeq, a predicted model, not a curated record
CCCCUAGCAACAAUUUGUAAUACUAAUUAAAAUGGCACCUGGCAUUAGUUGUCUUUGAAUCCUGGUGACUUAAUUCUGGAGAGAUGUUACGAGCAGAAGGAUUGUAGAGGGUGUGCAUAUUCCAGGAUAUUAAUGUUGGAGUAGGGAAUCAUGGAUGGAAGCUUGGCUUCAUAAAGUAAAGAAUAGCAUGCUAUUCCAGAUGUUUACCAAGAAGAAGUAAAUAACUCUUGUUGAUGUCUAUCAAUGAUUUUUUUAAUGUACAUUUAUUUUCAAUCCUGUUUCACUAUUAUGAAACUACUACCACAUAGUAUUAUCACAACCAGCAGUUAAUAUUCACCUUCCCCAUUUCAUCAGAUAGUCACACAGCCAUGUGCGGUUUGAGCCAUGAAGGAUGUGGUAUUUUUAUAUAGCUCAUGCUAAGAUCAGUUAUUUUUAAGAUAUGGAGGAAAAAAGCAGCACCAUAUCCUAAAUGGAAUUUUUCCAGUGGAUAUGGAAAAAAAACCUUAUGACUGCCAGUUCUUCAGCUUUUAUCCUCAGAGAAGUCAGUAAGAUAUAUUUGUAUUCAAGCCAUGCUGGCAGUAAUGUCUGUGGUUAAAGUUGUCCAAUGUUGAGAACUGUGUGUAUUGGGGGUAUGUGUAUUAUGUUGGUGCUUAUAUAAAACAGAGCUGUAUAGCUUACAGGAAAUGGAGCAAAACAUGCCUUCAUCAAAAGGGCAAGUUCUUCCUGGUAUAGAGCUUAAGCUCUGAAAUUGAGGUAUGUGCUGAUUUUUGACAGCUAUAAUAUGGUGGUAACCUUACCUAGAUUUUUUUUUUUUUCUUCCUUCAAAAAAGCUGUCCUUUCAUGUGUGUGAUUGGCACUGGGCUUGCUUUGUGUUUAGCUUCUCUAAUCAAGGGAAUUUAAGCUUCUAUUCUCCCUGCAUUAAUUCAGCAGUCAUGGGAAAUCUCAAACAAGCCAGAUCUUAUUGCAGCAGUUGACACAAAUAAAAGCAGUUGUGCUUUUAUUUAUUUAUUUUUGAUGCUGGAUGCUGAUUAAAAGUUUCCAAGCAUCCUUUAGCUAUGUUAUAAAGCCAACCAGCAGAGAGCAGGGCAGCUGCCAAGGAAGGGAGAUGCUGGUGGACACAGGACAAGAUCACAGUGGGAAGCAUCAGUGUGUGUAACUCAGAAAGCUGGGAAAGGUGUAAACAGAUCCCCAAUUUAUCUAUAGGGUGGGCUCUCCAAACACUGCUUUAUUGGCCAGUGGCUCCUGCUUUACUAACCUCUAACCUCUGCAGUACUCAGAGGUGCUGCCCACCAGCCAGCCUUGUCUUUGAACCUCCCUUGGCUCCUGCCACCUCAAAGACUUGCAGUCAGAGUCCUGUGUUUUGCUUGGGACCUCACCUCUCAGCAGGAUGCCUGCAGCAGGGAAAACUGAUCUACCCUGAGAACAUAGACAUAUUUGAAGGCAAUACCCCUAGGACUAGAAACCUAUUGCUUUCAGUUUCAGGAGCUGUCCAUCACUUGUCAAGAAAUGUGGAUAAAACAUCUUCCCACCCCCCAACUUCUGGUCAUGCAGUAGUUGAAUGCUCCCUGCAAUCACAUACAUAUAUUUGUUUUCUGUUAUUUUCCAGACUGCUGUUGAAUGAGUGAUAGCACAAUUCUAGCUCACUGUUGAUCUGGUUUUAUUGUUGAGUGUGUCGAGAACAAACAUCAUAAUCAGGAUGAUACAGGUUCAAAUAUUUUUGUCUACUCCCCAGGUUAGGUGUGCCUGCCACUUCUUUUACAGUAAUGGCCUGCUGAAAUUGGAGUAGAGAGCCAUGCAAACUCCUGGACACUGGAGGGAAGAGAGUUUGCUAUUUUUUGUGUCUUUACAUUAUUACUGAUGACUAUGUAGAUAUAAUGGCUUAUCUGGAAGCUAGAGUAGUAUUUAUUUCUCUUUUUCAGCUGUGUUAUUUCUAUGGUGUCAACACAUGGCAUUUGCUCGUAAAUAGGAAGACAAACUGAAAGCUCUUUGGGAGCAAAGGGAAUUAAGAAAAUGCUUCAAAAAGAAAAAGGAAAAAAAGAAAUUUGGAUAAUGGAAAGAUUCAGUUUUCACUUUGUUGUAUCUGAAGGAGGCAAAUGUGCUUGUUCCAUCGUUGAAAUUACUGCAGCAGAGAAUAUUGAGACAAAGGAUUAAAUCCAAUUACUGCUUCACUUCUGAAGAGAUUGUUUUUGAAGCUGAAUUACAAUAAAAACCAGCGCUGUGAAA